This 27-nucleotide non-coding RNA is filed under the name Cricetulus griseus (Chinese hamster). The record is from RNAcentral. Lineage: Eukaryota; Metazoa; Chordata; Mammalia; Rodentia; Cricetidae.
GGAUUGUAGGCUUUUGCCACCUGUGCC